Molecule: ribosomal RNA, 217 nt
Filed under: uncultured bacterium
Lineage: Bacteria
Description: partial 16S ribosomal RNA
Rfam family: Bacterial small subunit ribosomal RNA
Source: RNAcentral
CGGACGGGUGAGUAACGCGUAAGAAUCUGCCUACAGGUUCGGGACAACAUCUCGAAAGAGGUGCUAAUACCGGAUGUGCCGCGAGGUAAAAGCUUUAGUGCCUGUAGAUGAGCUUGCGUCUGAUUAGCUAGAUGGUGGGGUAACGGCCUACCAUGGCGGCAAUCAGUAACUGGUCUGAGAGGAUGACCAGUCACACUGGGACUGAGACACGGCCCAG